AUGAUCUUUACUAAAACUAUGCUUGAGCACUCAAACAUGAGAGGUUCACUAUCCAAAUUGUGAGAUUUUUUCUUUAAAUCCAAAAUCCAAAUUUAUGGGUUUGGUAAAAUUAGGGUUUAUGAAAUUUGGGGAUUUUGAAUUUUGUGAUUAGAAGAUGGAAGUGAAAAUAUUUAAGGAAUUUGAAGGUUUAUUUGGAUGGACAAUUUUUUUGAUUUAAGGAAGAAGAUGAAGAUGAUGAAUAUGAGGAUGAAAUGUUUAUAG
Molecule: long non-coding RNA, 261 nt
Filed under: Medicago truncatula (barrel medic)
Lineage: Eukaryota; Viridiplantae; Streptophyta; Magnoliopsida; Fabales; Fabaceae
Description: long non-coding RNA (MTRU_LNC007944)
Source: RNAcentral